This is a long non-coding RNA of Spinacia oleracea (spinach), 667 nucleotides long. RefSeq lists it as uncharacterized. The transcript has 2 exons. NCBI's taxonomy places the organism in Eukaryota, Viridiplantae, Streptophyta, Magnoliopsida, Caryophyllales, Amaranthaceae. The record is from RefSeq and is a predicted model, not a curated record.
CUCACACAUUAUCCUUUUUUUUUUGAACAAAAUGAGUUUGUGAGCUAAAGGACUCUAUUAAAAAAAACCCACGUAGUGCUUAUCUUCUACGAAGUAUUUUGUUUUUUUUUUUUUUUUUUUUUUUAAAGAAAAGAUAAGCAUCAAAACUCCAUGAAAUGCUAUGAUCAUCAAACAAAUUCUAUCUCAUUUAGAGAGUCAACUUGUGCGACACUCUCGAAUCAUAUCGUUCUUCAUGGAUAUAAAUAUCACCCUUUUGACGAUCGUUCCGUAAAUACAAUGUGGUUUUUCCUAUUAUGAAUCAUCAAUUUUGGAGCGGUUGGUUUGUUGGUGUGAUUACAGUAGUAUACUUCGUAUUUGAUUUGGCGGAUCGAGCGGGAGUGUUUCAGGGAGUUGACUAGAUUGGGAUGUUCUAUUUAGGUUUGAGUAGUGAACUACUCCGUAUUCUUUUUCAUUUAGUCAAAGAUCAGAGGUGGAAAAAAAAUAGCAGUUUUAAAUGGAGUGAUUGCUCAUUGCUGGCCCUCAUUGCUCAGUUUAGUAGGAUGCUUCAAAAGAAGCAUGGUUGCACACUUGUACUUUUGGACGAAAUUAGUGGGCUGAUUUUUGUAACAAUCAUAUUAAUGUCUUUCAUGAUUUUGCUUCUAUUUAAGAUAUCUUCUUGAUUUUCUCA